AGAGUUAAACAGUGCGUGAAAUUGUUGAAAGGGAAACGUUUGGCACCAGUCGUGCGUUCAGGAAAUCAGUCUAUCGAGGUGGGGAGUUGUAAGGGUUUGGACCGCAAGGCCAGCCUUUGCUGCAUUCCUGUUUGGAUGGAUGCACUUUUCUGUAUGCAGGUCAACAUCAGUUUUGUUCGCCGGACAAAACCCCAAGGGAAUGUGACAGCUUUGGCUGUGUUAUAGCUCUGGGGCGAUACGGUGGACGAGACUGAGGCUUUCAGUGUGUGCUUUCGGGCAAGGCUGACCGGGUGCUAUGAGACAGUUCGGGGUACAAUACAUGUAUUUUGCUUCGUGUCUGGCUUGUACUCGCUCGAAUCAGCUCUUCCACGCUUAGGAUGUUGACAUAAUGGUUUUAAACGACC
RNAcentral lists this ribosomal RNA (404 nucleotides) under uncultured fungus. RNAcentral describes it as "eukaryotic LSU rRNA". Lineage: Eukaryota; Fungi. The record is from RNAcentral.